CAUCAGCAAUACCUUAUUUCUGACCAUUCCUGUUUCUCGAAGUCUGCCUUGAACCCUCACCGAUGGGUACAGGCAGUGAGGAGAAUCUGCACGUAUCUGAGGAAGCCGUAACUGAGAUUAUCAGAAAUCUCCUGUGGAAGUACAUAAGUGAACACUUCUGAGCUGCACACCACAGGGGACAUGCAAUUCCAAAAAGGGCACAGACA
RNAcentral lists this long non-coding RNA (206 nucleotides) under Coturnix japonica (Japanese quail). RNAcentral's name for it is "lncRNA (ENSCJPG00005008221.1)". Lineage: Eukaryota; Metazoa; Chordata; Aves; Galliformes; Phasianidae. The record is from RNAcentral.